CAGCAGCCGCGGGAAUACGUAGGGUGCGAGCGUUAAUCGGAAUUACUGGGCGUAAAGCGUGCGCAGGCGGUUAUAUAAGACAGAUGUGAAAUCCCCGGGCUCAGCCUGGACCUGCAUUUGUGACUGUAUAGCUAGAGUACGGUAGAGGGGGAUGGAAUUCCGCGUGUAGCAGUGAAAUGCGUAGAUAUGCGGAGGAACACCGAUGGCGAAGGCAAUCCCCUGGACCUGUACUGACGCUCAUGCACGAAAGCGCGGGGAGCAAACAGGAUUAGAUACCCGCGUAGUCCCUGUCUCUUAUACA
This 301-nucleotide ribosomal RNA is filed under the name uncultured bacterium. RNAcentral describes it as "partial 16S ribosomal RNA". It matches the Rfam family "Bacterial small subunit ribosomal RNA", at positions 509 to 808 of the family's 1533-position model. The record is from RNAcentral.